Molecule: transfer RNA, 84 nt
Filed under: Rhodovulum sulfidophilum
Lineage: Bacteria; Pseudomonadati; Pseudomonadota; Alphaproteobacteria; Rhodobacterales; Paracoccaceae
Description: tRNA-Leu
Rfam family: tRNA
About the family: Transfer RNA (tRNA) molecules are approximately 80 nucleotides in length. Their secondary structure includes four short double-helical elements and three loops (D, anti-codon, and T loops).
Source: RNAcentral
GCGGAUAUGACGAAAUUGGUAAACGUAUCAGACUUAAAAUCUGACGCCUAUGGCUUGUCGGUUCGAUCCCGACUAUCCGCACCA